AUGUCCUGUACAAACACAGGGAGAGAGGUAAGCCUCGGUCACCCUCUGGGCCUCUGGCUGGCAGGCUAUGAUGCCUACUUCAGUUGUUAAAGAAACACAACACAGGUAAUGAAGAUUUUAGUGUACAAGGCUCUUUCCACCCCAACCGCUUGAAGGUUAAUGUAUUUACGUUAAUCAGCAACAUCCAGACUGAGCAUUAAAAUCAAUCCUUUAACAUCUGACAGAUGGGGAGGGGAGCAAUAUUUAUUCCUAUACAAACUAGAGGCAGGCUGAUUUCAUCAGCCCAUUAAAGCUGAUUGCAGAUAAAAUCGGUAGUGGGGUUUUUAACGGCCGAUAAGUAACAAAAAAUUAAAGUAAGUGAAAGCCAAAGAUAGGUUCACAGCUCCACCACUGCAGAAUAGAACGGAGUCGUGGCAAAGAAGUUGAGCGCUGAAACAUUAGGCUGUAGCCCGUUGACAAAACCUGUUUAAUGUUUGUUUGUGAAACAGUCUAACAAAAUUCUAGCGAGUAAAUGAACAACGGCCGAAUCCUCUUCUCCCCCGUCCAUCUGGCGCUAACUGCCGCGAUAAAACUUGCAGUUUAUCUGUUGCUGAAGUAGUUAGCCACAAAGCAAGCUAAUGCCACUGCCUGUCAGUGGAUGACAGUAAACGAGUCGUUAACGUGAAGCAUUCUACUCAUUCCGCCUAAAGGAGAACCAUUGUUUACCAGCCAAUUAUAAUCAACAACAGUAAUAUAUUAUUUUGUGUCACACAACCAUAACAAAAUAUAUGUGUUGUCGUUCAAGUUUACCAUUUUUGACAAUAAAACAAGUUCAUUUUUCAGCUGCAUAACGACCUGCUCAGUGAACCAGGUACCGUGGUCAGACCUCUUCAAUAUCUAAACCCUGAUCAUGAGUUCAGGUUUAAAAAUGAAUAUCGGCCGAUAUCUCGUUGCGAUGUAAACACUCAAAUAUCGAAAUAGGCAUCGGCCUUAAAAACCCGGUAUCAGUCACGCUCUAACUAAAACACAAACCUUUGUCUUUGGGUCGAUGAGACUGACUCCAUGCUUGUUGAUGGCGAUCAGCAGGAUCUCUGGGUAGUUGGGCUCUGUGGUUUGCUAAAGACAAAAAAUAGAUAUUUAUGUCUUGACAUCCAUUGAUCAUCUAUCAUAUCUAAUAAUUUUUACGUUUCAUAUUAGCAGUUAGCACGUCUUGUUUGACAAUUCAGUGUUUCCUCUUGUUACAUUUGAUAAAAUGGACGUCAGAAAUGAGUGAGGGCUGCAGACAGGAAGUGACAGGCUCAGGUGUGUUUACCUUGACCUCAAAGAAGGCGGAGCCAAAGGUCGGCCAUUUGUAGAUGAUCUUCAGGAACAUCAGUUUGGCCUCUUCCCUUGAUUUACCGGCCUGCUUGUUGAAUUUUUCAGGUUUACCCUUUUCCAGUCAUCUGGCGACAUCUGGCGAAUGAGAUCCUGGGGAACCAGCUCCCGAAGCAUCUUGGGAAUUGUAGGAAAGUGGGAUUUGUCAUCCUCAAACUUGACACGUGUAAAUACCAUAAAACUGACCUGGUAGUAGUGGAAGAUGGAGUCAGCGAAAGAGUCCUUCCCUGGAACUGUGUUGGUCCACAACUUCUUCAUGAAGAACACCUGAUAGG
This is a long non-coding RNA of Xiphias gladius (swordfish), 1628 nucleotides long. RefSeq lists it as uncharacterized. The record is from RefSeq and is a predicted model, not a curated record. NCBI's taxonomy places the organism in Eukaryota, Metazoa, Chordata, Actinopteri, Istiophoriformes, Xiphiidae. The transcript is spliced from 3 exons.